UAGUAUAAAAAUGAUCGUAUAAACUUAAGCUUUAUACUACAUGUAUAGCGCUUUUUUUAUGCCCCCCUUCGUAGAAGAGGGGGUAUAUUGUUUUGCACAUGUCGGUCCGUCGGUCGGUCAGUCCUUCCACCAGAUGGUUUCCGGAUGAUAACUCAAGAACGCUAAGGCCUAAGAUCAUGAAACUUCAUAGGUACAUUGAUCAUGACUGGCAGAUGACCCCUAUUGAUUUUCAGGUCACUAGGUCAAAGGUCAAGGUCACAGUGACUCAAAAUAGUAAAAUGGUUUCCGGAUGAUAACUCAAGAAUGCUUAGGCCUAGGAUCAUGAAACUUCAUAGGUACAUUGAUCAUGACUGGCAGAUGACCCCAAAUGAUUUUCAGGUCACUAGGUCAAAGGUCACAGUGACAAAAAACGUAUUCACACAAUGGCUGCCACUACAACUGACAGCCCAUAUGGGGG
Dreissena polymorpha is the source of this 457-nucleotide long non-coding RNA. RefSeq lists it as uncharacterized. Lineage: Eukaryota; Metazoa; Mollusca; Bivalvia; Myida; Dreissenidae. The transcript is spliced from 3 exons. The record is from RefSeq and is a predicted model, not a curated record.